This 233-nucleotide long non-coding RNA is filed under the name Mytilus galloprovincialis (Mediterranean mussel). The record is from RNAcentral. Lineage: Eukaryota; Metazoa; Mollusca; Bivalvia; Mytilida; Mytilidae.
CCCCCGGGAUGAGCCUUGCUGCAAGCCAAACGUAAACACAGCAAAGACUCACGAACGUGACGUUGCACUGGUAUUUAUUUCAAAUUACCGGAAGUAAAUCUUCUAAGCAGGAAGAAAAACAUAACGUAAUAUGCUUUCAUAAAAUAUAGGAGUCCUCGACUCAAAAUGCUUAUAAUAAUACAAUCUUAUGAAUAAUCAAAUCUAGACAUAUUAAUUCUUCCAGUUAAGAGCUC